UACGUAGGGGGCAAGCGUUGUCCGGAUUUAUUGGGCGUAAAGAGCGUAUAGGCGGUUUGGUAGGUCCGCUGUGAAAACUCGAGGCUCAACCUCGAGACGCCGGUGGAAACCAUCAGGCUAGAGUCCGGAAGAGGAGAGUGGAAUUCCUGGUGUAGCGGUGAAAUGCGCAGAUAUCAGGAAGAACACCCGUGGCUAAGGCGGCUCUCUAGUACGGUACUGACGCUGAGACGCGAAAGCGUGGGGAGCGAACAGG
This 253-nucleotide ribosomal RNA is filed under the name uncultured bacterium. Its description in RNAcentral is "partial 16S ribosomal RNA". It matches the Rfam family "Bacterial small subunit ribosomal RNA", at positions 524 to 776 of the family's 1533-position model. The record is from RNAcentral.